This 227-nucleotide ribosomal RNA is filed under the name Aeromonas caviae subsp. aquatica. Its description in RNAcentral is "partial 16S ribosomal RNA". It matches the Rfam family "Bacterial small subunit ribosomal RNA", at positions 1307 to 1533 of the family's 1533-position model. The record is from RNAcentral. Lineage: Bacteria; Pseudomonadati; Pseudomonadota; Gammaproteobacteria; Aeromonadales; Aeromonadaceae.
GCAACUCGACUCCAUGAAGUCGGAAUCGCUAGUAAUCGCAAAUCAGAAUGUUGCGGUGAAUACGUUCCCGGGCCUUGUACACACCGCCCGUCACACCAUGGGAGUGGGUUGCACCAGAAGUAGAUAGCUUAACCUUCGGGAGGGCGUUUACCACGGUGUGAUUCAUGACUGGGGUGAAGUCGUAACAAGGUAACCCUAGGGGAACCUGGGGUUGGAUCACCUCCUUA